CGCAGCCGCGGUAAUUCCAGCUCCAAUAGCGUAUAUUAAAGUUGCUGCAGUUAAAAAGCUCGUAGUUGAAUUUCGGGACCAUCAUGUCGGUCGUGCCUCGGUACGUACUGGCAUUGUUGGUUUCUCCCUUCUGACGAACCAUGAUGUCAUUUAUUUGGUGUUGUGGGGAAUCAGGACUGUUACUUUGAAAAAAUUAGAGUGUUUAAAGCAGGCUCACGCUUGAAUACAUUAGCAUGGAAUAAUGAAAUAGGACGUUUGAUUCUAUUUUGUUGGUUUCUAGGAUCGACGUAAUGAUUAAUAGGGAUAGUUGGGGGCAUUAGUAUUCAAUUGUCAGAGGUGAAAUUCUUGGAUUUAUUGAAGACUAACUACUGCGAAAGCAUUUGCCAAGGAUGUUUUCAUUAAUCAAGAACGAAAGUUAGGGGAUCGAAGACGAUCAGAUACCGUCGUAGUCUUAAACCAUAAACUAUGCCGACUAGGGAUCGGAUGAUGUUAAUUUUUAAUGACUCAUUC
This 510-nucleotide ribosomal RNA is filed under the name uncultured Glomus. RNAcentral describes it as "SSU rRNA". It matches the Rfam family "Eukaryotic small subunit ribosomal RNA", at positions 569 to 1081 of the family's 1831-position model. Lineage: Eukaryota; Fungi; Glomeromycota; Glomeromycetes; Glomerales; Glomeraceae. The record is from RNAcentral.